RNAcentral lists this ribosomal RNA (441 nucleotides) under uncultured bacterium. Its description in RNAcentral is "partial 16S ribosomal RNA". It matches the Rfam family "Bacterial small subunit ribosomal RNA", at positions 338 to 795 of the family's 1533-position model. The record is from RNAcentral.
CCUACGGGCGGCAGCAGUGGGGGAUAUUGCACAAUGGGGGGAACCCUGAUGCAGCGACGCCGCGUGGGUGAAGGAGCGUUUCGGCGCGUAAAGCCCUAUCGGCAGGGAAGAAGGAGGACGGUACCUGACCAAGAAGCCCCGGCUAACUACGUGCCAGCAGCCGCGGAAAUACGUAGGGGGCAAGCGUUACCCGGAUUCACUGGGUGUAAAGGGGGCGCAGACGGCAGCGCAAGCCAGGAGUGAAAGCCCGGGGCCCAACCCCGGGACUGCUCUUGGAACUGCGCGGCUGGAGUGCAGGAGGGGCAGGCGGAAUUCCUGGUGUAGCGGUGAAAUGCGUAGAUAUCAGGAGGAACACCGGUGGCGAAGGCGUCCUGCUGGACUGCGACUGACGUUGAGGCCCGAAAGCGUGGGGAGCAAACAGGAUUAGAUACCCUUGUAGUC